UACGAAGGGUGCAAGCGUUAAUCGGAAUUACUGGGCGUAAAGGGCGCGUAGGCGGGAUGGCAAGUCGGUCGUGAAAUCCCUCGGCUCAACCGAGGAACGUCGAUCGAUACUGCUGUUCUUGAGGAUUGCAGAGGAGACUGGAAUUCCCGGUGUAGCGGUGAAAUGCGCAGAUAUCAGGAAGAACACCCGUGGCUAAGGCGGUUCUCUAGUACGGUACUGACGCUGAGACGCGAAAGCGUGGGGAGCGAACAGG
RNAcentral lists this ribosomal RNA (253 nucleotides) under uncultured bacterium. RNAcentral's name for it is "partial 16S ribosomal RNA". It matches the Rfam family "Bacterial small subunit ribosomal RNA", at positions 524 to 776 of the family's 1533-position model. The record is from RNAcentral.